AACCUCCCGCUAUUGAGGGAAUCAUAGAGUUUAAAAUGUCUGCUGAAAGUAGACUUCACUCAGAUCUUCUGCUAGAAAAGUUUAAGGAGGAAGGAGAGCAUACUGCUACAUCAGUGGAACAGAGAAACGUAGAAGAACUUUGUUUAAGGUUAUUUUCUAGCCUUUAGUACGAUGAGAUU
This is a long non-coding RNA of Eurytemora carolleeae, 179 nucleotides long. RefSeq lists it as uncharacterized. The record is from RefSeq and is a predicted model, not a curated record. The transcript is spliced from 3 exons. NCBI's taxonomy places the organism in Eukaryota, Metazoa, Arthropoda, Copepoda, Calanoida, Temoridae.